UAUACCUACGGGGGGCAGCAGUGGGGGAUAUUGGACAAUGGGGGGAACCCUGAUCCAGCGACGCCGCGUGAGUGAAGAAGUAUUUCGGUAUGUAAAGCUCUGUCAGCAGGGAAGAAAGAAAUGACGGUACCUGACCAAGAAGCCCCGGCUAACUACGUGCCAGCAGCCGCGGUAAUACGUAGGGGGCAAGCGUUAUCCGGAAUUACUGGGUGUAAAGAGAGCGUAGGCGGUUAUGUAAGUCUGGAGUGAAAGCCCGGGGCCCAACCCCGGGACUGCUUUGGAAACUGUGUAACUGGAGUACAGGG
RNAcentral lists this ribosomal RNA (305 nucleotides) under uncultured bacterium. Its description in RNAcentral is "bacterial SSU rRNA". It matches the Rfam family "Bacterial small subunit ribosomal RNA", at positions 334 to 653 of the family's 1533-position model. The record is from RNAcentral.